Molecule: ribosomal RNA, 425 nt
Filed under: uncultured bacterium
Lineage: Bacteria
Description: partial 16S ribosomal RNA
Rfam family: Bacterial small subunit ribosomal RNA
Source: RNAcentral
GUGGGGAAUAUUGGACAAUGGGCGCAAGCCUGAUCCAGCAAUGCCGCGUGAGUGAUGAAGGCCUUCGGGUCGUAAAGCUCUUUUACCAGGGAUGAUAAUGACAGUACCUGGAGAAUAAGCUCCGGCUAACUCCGUGCCAGCAGCCGCGGUAAUACGGAGGGAGCUAGCGUUGUUCGGAAUUACUGGGCGUAAAGCGCACGUAGGCGGUUACUCAAGUCAGAGGUGAAAGCCCGGGGCUCAACCCCGGAACAGCCUUUGAAACUAGGUGACUGGAAUCUUGGAGAGGCGAGUGGAAUUCCGAGUGUAGAGGUGAAAUUCGUAGAUAUUCGGAAGAACACCAGUGGCGAAGGCGACUCGCUGGACAAGUAUUGACGCUGAGGUGCGAAAGCGUGGGGAGCAAACAGGAUUAGAUACCCGGGUAGUCC